This 93-nucleotide non-coding RNA is filed under the name Oscillatoriales cyanobacterium. RNAcentral describes it as "TPP sequence". It matches the Rfam family "TPP riboswitch aptamer (THI element)". From Rfam's summary of the family: Vitamin B(1) in its active form thiamin pyrophosphate (TPP) is an essential coenzyme that is synthesised by coupling of pyrimidine and thiazole moieties in bacteria. The previously detected thiamin-regulatory element, thi box was extended, resulting in a new, highly conserved RNA secondary structure, the THI element, which is widely distributed in eubacteria and also occurs in some archaea. Analysis of operon structures identified a large number of new candidate thiamin-regulated genes, mostly transporters, in various prokaryotic organisms. RNAcentral also lists the same sequence under 1 other name. Lineage: Bacteria; Bacillati; Cyanobacteriota; Cyanophyceae; Oscillatoriales. The record is from RNAcentral.
CAAACAAGCUAGGGGUGCCCUUUGGGGCUGAGAUUAAACCCUUAGAACCUGAGACCGGGUUAUACCGGCGGAGGGAAGCUGUUUAUCUGAGGA